RNAcentral lists this microRNA precursor (65 nucleotides) under Mus caroli (Ryukyu mouse). Its description in RNAcentral is "microRNA 6975 (MGP_CAROLIEiJ_G0007560.1)". The record is from RNAcentral. Lineage: Eukaryota; Metazoa; Chordata; Mammalia; Rodentia; Muridae.
AGUCGGCUGGGGAGAAAGGGGUUUGUUUGGCAUGGUGCAAAAAUGUCUCUCCUUUCUCCUUCUAG